This 479-nucleotide ribosomal RNA is filed under the name uncultured bacterium. RNAcentral describes it as "bacterial SSU rRNA". It matches the Rfam family "Bacterial small subunit ribosomal RNA", at positions 8 to 475 of the family's 1533-position model. The record is from RNAcentral.
AGAGUUUGAUCCUGGCUCAGAACGAACGCUGGCGGCGUGCUUAACACAUGCAAGUCGAACGCGAACGAGUUCUUCGGAACUUUAGUAGAGUGGCGCACGGGUGAGUAACGCGUAAGUUAUCUACCCUCCCAUCUGGAAUAACUCACCGAAAGGUGUGCUAAUACCGGAUACGUUGAUUUAUCAAGAAAGGUGGCCUCUAUUUAUAAGCUACCGUGGGGGGAUGAGCUUGCGUACCAUUAGCUAGUUGGUAGGGUAAUGGCCUACCAAGGCAACGAUGGUUAGCGGGUCUGAGAGGAUGAUCCGCCACACUGGAACUGGAACACGGACCAGACUCCUACGGGAGGCGGCAGUGAGGAAUAUUGCGCAAUGGGGGAAACCCUGACGCAGCGACGCCGCGUGGAUGAUGAAGGCCUUUGGGUCGUAAAAUCCUGUCAGAUGGAAAGAAAUGCUAUUGGUUUAAUAUGCCUUUAGUUUGACGG